This 69-nucleotide transfer RNA is filed under the name Bufo japonicus (Japanese toad). RNAcentral describes it as "tRNA-Gly". It matches the Rfam family "tRNA". From Rfam's summary of the family: Transfer RNA (tRNA) molecules are approximately 80 nucleotides in length. Their secondary structure includes four short double-helical elements and three loops (D, anti-codon, and T loops). Further hydrogen bonds mediate the characteristic L-shaped molecular structure. tRNAs have two regions of fundamental functional importance: the anti-codon, which is responsible for specific mRNA codon recognition, and the 3' end, to which the tRNAs corresponding amino acid is attached (by aminoacyl-tRNA synthetases). tRNAs cope with the degeneracy of the genetic code in two manners: having more than one tRNA (with a specific anti-codon) for a particular amino acid; and 'wobble' base-pairing, i.e. permitting non-standard base-pairing at the 3rd anti-codon position. The record is from RNAcentral. Lineage: Eukaryota; Metazoa; Chordata; Amphibia; Anura; Bufonidae.
AUUUUCUUAGUAUAAUUAGUACUAAUGACUUCCAAUCAUAAAGUCUUGGUUGAACCCCGAGAGAAAAUA